GUGAGGAAUAUUGGUCAAUGGGCGGGAGCCUGAACCAGCCAAGUCGCGUGAAGGAAGAAGGAUCUAUGGUUCGUAAACUUCUUUUGCAGGGGAAUAAAGUGCAGGACGUGUCCUGUUUUGUAUGUACCCUGAGAAUAAGGAUCGGCUAACUCCGUGCCAGCAGCCGCGGUAAUACGGAGGAUCCGAGCGUUAUCCGGAUUUAUUGGGUUUAAAGGGUGCGUAGGUGGUUUGAUAAGUCAGCGGUGAAAGUUUGCAGCUUAACUGUAAAAAUGCCGUUGAGACUGUAGGGCAUGAGUGGUAAUGAGGUAGGCGGAAUGCGAGGUGUAGCGUUGCAAUGCAUAGAUAUCACGAAGAACUCCGAUUGCGAAAGCAGCUUACUAAGCUACAACUGACACUGAAGCACGAAAGCGUGGGGAUCAAACAGGAUUAGAAACCCCGGUAGUCC
Molecule: ribosomal RNA, 445 nt
Filed under: uncultured bacterium
Lineage: Bacteria
Description: partial 16S ribosomal RNA
Rfam family: Bacterial small subunit ribosomal RNA
Source: RNAcentral